RNAcentral lists this ribosomal RNA (459 nucleotides) under uncultured bacterium. RNAcentral's name for it is "partial 16S ribosomal RNA". It matches the Rfam family "Bacterial small subunit ribosomal RNA", at positions 338 to 795 of the family's 1533-position model. The record is from RNAcentral.
CCUACGGGAGGCAGCAGUGAGGAAUAUUGGUCAAUGGUCGGGAGACUGAACCAGCCAAGCCGCGUGAGGGAUGAAGGUACAGAGUAUCGUAAACCUCUUUUGUCAGGGAACAAAGGCGGGGACGCGUCCCCGGAUGAGUGUACCUGAAGAAAAAGCAUCGGCUAACUCCGUGCCAGCAGCCGCGGUAAUACGGAGGAUGCGAGGGUUAGCCGGAUUUAUUGGGUUUAAAGGGUGCGCAGGCGGUCUGUUAAGUCAGCGGUAAAAGCCCGGGGCGCAACCCCGGCCCGCCGUUGAAACUGGCAGUCUCGAGUUGGAGAGAAGUAUGCGGAAUGCGCGGUGUAGCGGUGAAAUGCAGAGAUAUCGCGCAGAACUCCGAUUGCGAAGGCAGCAUGCCGGCUCCACACUGACGCUGAGGCACGAAAGCGUGGGUAUCGAACAGGAUUAGAUACCCGUGUAGUC